Molecule: ribosomal RNA, 602 nt
Filed under: uncultured fungus
Lineage: Eukaryota; Fungi
Description: eukaryotic LSU rRNA
Rfam family: 5.8S ribosomal RNA (bases 238-391)
Source: RNAcentral
CUUGGUCAUUUAGAGGAAGUAAAAGUCGUAACAAGGUCUCCGUAGGUGAACCUGCGGAGGGAUCAUUACCGAGUUCAUGCCCGCAUGGGUAGAUCUCCCACCCUAUGUUAUCAUUACCUUCGUUGCUUUGGCGGGCCGUCAGGCUUCGGCUAGGCUACCGGCUCCGACUGGUAAGCGCCCGCCAGAGGACCCUCAACUCUGAAUAUUAGUGUCGUCUGAGUACUAUCUAAUAGUUAAAACUUUCAACAACGGAUCUCUUGGUUCUGGCAUCGAUGAAGAACGCAGCGAAAUGCGAUAAGUAAUGUGAAUUGCAGAAUUCAGUGAAUCAUCGAAUCUUUGAACGCACAUUGCGCCCCUUGGUAUUCCGAGGGGCAUGCCUGUUCGAGCGUCAUUACAACCCUCAAGCACUGCUUGGUAUUGGGCCCCGCUGCUAACGCUGCGGGCCUUAAAAUCAGUGGCGGCGCCGCUGGGCUCUGAGCGUAGUAAAUUUCCUCGCUACGGAGUCCUGGCGGCGGUGGUCAUUAAUCCCCCAACUUUCUUAAGUUUGACCUCGGAUCAGGUAGGGAUACCCGCUGAACUUAAGCAUAUCAAUAAGCGGAGGA